UGUGUGUCCGGAAGUGAGCGGGAGUAGCAGCAGUGAUCAGUCUGUCUCCAGUUAGCUGUAUAACAAAGUCCUGAGGAAACACAGCGGCCUCCCAAGGAACAGCCUGCCUGUGUGCCUCAUUUCAGAGUGGGUUAUUGAAGCCGAAGCCUGGUGCUUCAGUCCGGGAAGACUGCAGAGAGUCCUCCCCUGUAUUCCUCCACUACGGUCUGGGAGCAGCAUCUAUCUCCACUGUUGCUGUAACCAUGUUAAUGUCCCUCUGUGGGACCAAUAAAGGACUUCUGAUUCUGCGGAAAGACAGAAGAGACGGGGUAGGGGCGGGUUGGAGAGCGGCCUUCUUCUUUUCCCGGAUUUGAAGAAUCCUCUUCCUCCAGUCCACCGUAUCCCAGGAUGCAAUGCGCGCCGGUGACGAGGAAACAGAGAAAAUGUCGGUCCGGUCUCAGCAGCACGUCAGCAGUAACUGAUAAAUGAUUUUCAGGGCAAUCGAUUUGCAGCCAAUCAGAGACGAGACUUCUGCUGCAUGCAUGCACCCAGCCACGCAGAGACCACGCAGUUAGCACGCAGGAGGUGAAGAGCACAGCACGUGGCGCACCCAUUACACAGCACUCCGUCAUCCAGAGGAGAGGAAGCAGCACUUUGAGAGCUGUUAGCUGCAGUACCAGCAUCGUUGGCUACCAGCAGCCAGAGAUCCUCAAAGCAGUACAUUGCUUUGCUUCCAGGUGGUUGCUCCUGUCUGAAUCUCCAAGCUCGGAGCAUACCGGCCAUCAUCUACUCUAGGGAGUUCUCCCCAGACAGCUGACACUACAUGAUAGCAGAGGACCAGACCAUCGUCAGUGGCAGUGUCCUGAAUGUUGUCGACGCCCUGAUGCUGAUGUUUGCAGCAUAUUACUGCCUCAACAUCAGUUAUCGCUCCGAACUGGGAGCUGCCCUGGAGUUCUUGCAGAGGUGCCUAUUCAAGAUCAAUCCGGACAAUGGGACUAAAGUGGAGAGGAAGGAAUACAAACAAAAACAGCACUCGAUAAAGAUAAAGAUUUCAUGAAGUUUGCUGACGACACGACCGUCAUCG
Long non-coding RNA from Trematomus bernacchii (emerald rockcod), 1063 nucleotides. RefSeq lists it as uncharacterized. The record is from RefSeq and is a predicted model, not a curated record. The transcript has 7 exons. NCBI's taxonomy places the organism in Eukaryota, Metazoa, Chordata, Actinopteri, Perciformes, Nototheniidae.